CGCGUCCCGGGCGCCGGGCGCCGUCGUCCUCGUUAGUAUAGUGUGAAAGACGUAAUACCUGCCAGAUGUUGUGGUUCACCCCUGCAAUCCCAGCAUUCGAGAGGCUGAGGCAAGAGAAUCGCCACAAAUUCAAGGCCAUCCUGGACUACACACCAGGACAUGAGCAGCUUUGGUGUGCCACAUCCUGCCAUAGACCUGAAGAAGACUGACCGAUCGGGGACCAACACCUCUAAAACCGUGAACCAAAUCCCAGACCCUUGCUUUUCUAGCUUCUGUUGUAGCUGUACACACUGCACAUUGGAUGCAUGAGUCCCACAUCUUGAGCUGGAAACAGGUGAGCACCAGCAGCAGCAGCAGCAGCAGCAGCAGCAAAGACACUGAAUCUCUUUGGUGAGGUUACAGCAGCAGGGGCAGCUUCACCCAGUUUCCAGAGAUCACAGGUCUCGGACCCAAAGCGAUCCUGCAGAGGACAGUAAUAUCUUCAGGGGACACAUUGUGCCUGGUCCUUCUGAUACCUGGCCUAUUGGCCACCUAACUUCGGAACAAAGCACCCAGCACUCCUGGCUGCCACAGCUCACAGCCCAGUGAUAAUCAGCGAAGGUCUUUAAGACCCUCUUGCCAUGGGACUUGGUUUAAAUGAAGAACUUUAGGCUGGGAUUUGGCUCAGUGGUGCUAUGCCUGCCUUGCAUGUGCAAGGUCCUGAGUUCAAUCACCGGUACCAAAAUAAAGAACUUAACUUUCUCAAAUUCUCUUUCAUCAAUUCCUUACAUGAUUAAAGGCCCUGAGGAAACACUGGCUAUCUAAAAAGGACAGGAAGACAUUUUGUAAUUCUAAAGUAACUUCUAAGUCAAAUGUUGAUAAGCAUCCUAGGUAUCCUAGUUCUCUGAGCCCAAGGAACAACUUCUGUAUGUAUAAAAAUGUAUCCAGGCUUGCACCAGUGCAGAUAGAGCAUAACUCUCUCUGUAUGUACUUUACAAUAAAGUCUACCUAGACUUCUGCACAG
Molecule: long non-coding RNA, 1003 nt
Filed under: Heterocephalus glaber (naked mole-rat)
Lineage: Eukaryota; Metazoa; Chordata; Mammalia; Rodentia; Bathyergidae
Description: lncRNA (ENSHGLG00100051476.1)
Source: RNAcentral